Long non-coding RNA from Mirounga angustirostris (Northern elephant seal), 1799 nucleotides. RefSeq lists it as uncharacterized. The record is from RefSeq and is a predicted model, not a curated record. The transcript has 4 exons. NCBI's taxonomy places the organism in Eukaryota, Metazoa, Chordata, Mammalia, Carnivora, Phocidae.
UGUCAGAGGUUAAGGAGAUUCUGAUGAAGAAAUAAAAGAAUAUGGCCUUGAGGGUGGGCCAAAUGGGUGAAGGUGGUCACAGGGUACAAAUCUGCAGCUAUAAGAUGAGUAAAGUCUGAGGAUCUAAUGUACAGCAGGGUGACUACAGUCAACAAUACUGUAUCGUAUACUUGCAAGUUAAGAGAGGAGAUCUUGAAUGCCCUCACCAACACAGUGUCCAUCCUCCCGCCAAAGGAAACAAAUGAUGACUUUAUCUUGACACCUCCCACACUGAUCACCUUGAGAAAACUGAGGAACAACCCACAUGGGGAUUCAGGCCUGUGGGAAGAGUCGGAUGAACUGGGGGUUUUCCAGUGUGGUUCAAACAGCUUUGGAAGAUGGUCAUUCGUGCUUCAUUCAUCAAACUCCUUCCGAGGACCUGCAUGUACCAGAUACAAUCAUGAACAAAGAAGACCUAUUGGAGGUGAUGCUGCUGCAGAGACAGAAGUGACCGUGCAUACAUACAGAGAGGAAGGGAUGGAUCUGAGAUCUAUUAAAGAUUGAGGAAGUCAAGACUUGGUGACCUAUCAAACAUGGCAGUGAGGAGGAGAGAGGGGUCAGAAAUGCGCCCAGAGGUUUUAGGAGGAGCAUUCAAAGUGAGGAGAGUGGAGAAGAAACUCCCUGGGAUGCUUUGGAGAUGGCUGGAGGAGACGGAGACAGAGAACAAACUCCACAUGGGAGGUAUACCAGGCAUACCAAAUGGGAGGGAUAUCACAGCCUCAUGGAGAGAAGAAAUCGUAUAAGAAGGAGAAACAAACCAGUGCAUCCAUGGUUUUGGCAAAUAAGGAGGUUACUGACGACCUUUGUCCAGAGUAAUUUCAUUAUAUUGGUGUGAACCCCAGCCAAAGUAUAGUGGAUUGAGAUGUGAUAGAAAUGUGAUCAAUUAUCUUUUAUUUACCAAGGCAGAUAUAAAUUAGCACUUUGUGGGAGAUCAUGGCGACUGAUGGCAGAAGGUCCAUAAGUGGGCACUCUGGUGUCUUGGCAGUGCAAUUUGGUAAACUCUGUUUGGAAAGCAAUUUGACAGUAAAUGCCAAUAACCUUCAAAUAUUCAUAUUUUGGAGUACUCUAUUUCUAAGACUCUACCCUUAGAAGGUAUUCAUAAAUACUGGAAAAUUUUAUGCCUGAUAAUAUUUAUCGUCAGGCCACUUAUAACUGCGAAAAGGUGGGAACCACCUAAACUUCUGCCAAGAGAGAAGAGUUUAAGUAAACUAUGGUAUGUUCGUUUGCUGAAAUCCUGACUAGUUAUCACAAAUGACGUUUGUGAGUCCUAUAACAUAGAAAGAUGUUUAUGCUAUAAUGUUAAAUUACAAAGCUGGAUAGACCAUUGAAACUACAGGGUAAUUAUAUGGUGUUUAUAAAGCAUCCCUAUGGCAGAGGCAGGGGGGUCACAUGAAUACAAUACAGAAAAAUGUGACUAGUGCCAGUGUCAGAGAUACAGGACUAUAUAUAGGAGAUCCCUAUUUUUAUUCUUUCAGUUUUCAGUAUGUCCCGAAUUCUCUUUAGUGAACAUGUAACAUUUUCUAAAAAUUUAAAUAAGCAUUUUUUAUUUUUUUUUUAAGAUUUUUUAUUUAUUUGAGAGAGAGAGAAUGAGAGAGAAAGAACACAUGAGAGGGGAUAGGGUCAGAGGGCGAAGCAGACUCCCUGCCAAGCAGGGAGCCUGAUGCGGGACUCGAUCCAGGGACUCGAUCCAGGGACUCGAUCCAGGGACUCGAUCCAGGGACUCGAUCCAGGGACUCCAGGAUCAUGACCUGAGCCGAAGG